GACCUGAUAGCACAAUGUCGAGUGCGUCUGCUCCAUAUUGUCCUGUGCGAGACGCCAUUUAAGCAGGAGACCCCGGUUCGAGCCCGGGUCAGGUCG
This is a non-coding RNA of Mycena epipterygia, 96 nucleotides long. NCBI's taxonomy places the organism in Eukaryota, Fungi, Basidiomycota, Agaricomycetes, Agaricales, Mycenaceae. The record is from the annotation of a GenBank genome assembly.